AGAGUUUGAUCAUGGCUCAGAUUGAACGCUGGCGGCAGGCCUAACACAUGCAAGUCGAGCGGUAACAUUUCUAGCUUGCUAGAAGAUGACGAGCGGCGGACGGGUGAGUAAAGCGUAGGGAGCUGCCCGAUAGUGGGGGAUAACCAUUGGAAACGAUGGCUAAUACCGCAUGAUGUCUACGGACCAAAGAGGGGGACCUUCGGGCCUCUUGCUAUCGGAUGCGCCUACGUGGGAUUAGCUAGUUGGUGAGGUAACGGCUCACCAAGGCGACGAUCCCUAGCUGGUUUGAGAGGAUGAUCAGCCACACUGGGACUGAGACACGGCCCAGACUCCUACGGGAGGCAGCAGUGGGGAAUAUUGGACAAUGGGGGCAACCCUGAUCCAGCCAUGCCGCGUGUGUGAAGAAGGCCUUCGGGUUGUAAAGCACUUUCAGCGAGGAGGAAAGGUGGGUAGUUAAUAACUGCCUGCUGUGACGUUACUCGCAGAAGAAGCACCGGCUAACUCCGUGCCAGCAGCCGCGGUAAUACGGAGGGUGCGAGCGUUAAUCGGAAUUACUGGGCGUAAAGGGCACGCAGGCGGCCUGUUAAGUUAGAUGUGAAAGCCCCGGGCUUAACCUGGGAAUGGCAUUUAAGACUGGCAGGCUAGAGUCUUGGAGAGGGGGGUGGAAUUUCCGGUGUAGCGGUGAAAUGCGUAGAGAUCG
This 700-nucleotide ribosomal RNA is filed under the name uncultured bacterium. RNAcentral's name for it is "bacterial SSU rRNA". It matches the Rfam family "Bacterial small subunit ribosomal RNA", at positions 8 to 699 of the family's 1533-position model. The record is from RNAcentral.